Molecule: ribosomal RNA, 344 nt
Filed under: Epiperipatus sp. n. ony112
Lineage: Eukaryota; Metazoa; Onychophora; Udeonychophora; Euonychophora; Peripatidae
Description: partial small subunit ribosomal RNA
Source: RNAcentral
CCCUGCUAUCCUAAAAUUUUAUAAUAAUUCAAAGAAAAAAAAACAAAAUAAAUUUGACGGUAUUAAUAUUUACAAAGGAUUUUGUUUUAAAAUCGAAAACACACGUUUUACCUCACUUAAAUCUUAUUUGUAUACCACCGUUAACGAAAUUAUUUUAAAUAAAUUUCACAAAAAACUAAACCCUUAAAAAAUCAGGUCAAGGCGCAAUUAAUUUAAGUUAAAAUGAAAUACAUUAAUAUAAUAUUAAAUAUUUUUUUUUGAAAAAAAAAAUAAACAGAAUUUGAUAGUAAAAAUAAAUAAUCAUGUUAUUUUGAAAAUUUCAAUUAAUAUGUACAUAUCGCCCG